GGCCCAAUGGUCUAGUGGUAUGAUUCGCCCUUCGGGUCUAACAACCCUUGUGCUCAGCGCAAAUCUGAUUGGGCGAGGCCCCGCGUUCGAAUCGCGGUUGGGCCC
This 105-nucleotide transfer RNA is filed under the name Colletotrichum higginsianum. RNAcentral's name for it is "tRNA CH063_16511". The record is from RNAcentral. Lineage: Eukaryota; Fungi; Ascomycota; Sordariomycetes; Glomerellales; Glomerellaceae.